AAAAAGGUAAACCCUGGGUUUCCGUGUCCAACUUUGACUAUCCGUCUUAUAUAAAAUUUUUUUAUAAUUCGUAUUUUCGUUGUUGUUAUAUGAUAAAAACAUGAUUAAUAUUUUAUGUGUGACUUAUCUUUUUAAUUUUUUUCAUAAUUUUUUUAAGUAAGACGAACGGUCAAACAUUGGGCACGGAAACCAGGGUUUGUCUUUUU
Non-coding RNA from Oryza nivara, 206 nucleotides. Lineage: Eukaryota; Viridiplantae; Streptophyta; Magnoliopsida; Poales; Poaceae. The record is from Rfam.